This 468-nucleotide ribosomal RNA is filed under the name uncultured bacterium. RNAcentral describes it as "partial 16S ribosomal RNA". It matches the Rfam family "Bacterial small subunit ribosomal RNA", at positions 28 to 507 of the family's 1533-position model. The record is from RNAcentral.
GACGAACGCUGGCGGCGUGCUUAACACAUGCAAGUCGAACGGAAAGGCCCUGCUUUUGUGGGGUGCCCGAGUGGCGAACGGGUGAGUAACACGAGAGUAACCUGCUCUUGAUUUUGGGAUAACUUCAGGUAACUGGGGCUAAUACCGGAUAGGAGCUCCUGCUGCAUGGUGGGGGUUGGAAAGUUUCGGCGGUUGGGGAUGGACUCGCGGCUUAUCAGUUUGUUGGUGGGGUAGUGGCUUACCAAGGCUUUGACGGGUAGCCGGCCUGAGAGGGUGACCGGCCACAUUGGGACUGAGAUACGGCCCAGACUCCUACGGGAGACAGCAGUGGGGAAUAUUGCACAAUGGGCGGGUGCCUGAUACAGCAGCGCCGCGUGCGGGAUGACGGCCUUCGGGUUGUAAACCGCUUUCGCCUGUGACGAAGCGUGAGUGACGGUAAUGGGUAAAGAAGCACCGGCUAACUACGUG